CCGAGUUUACAACUCCCAAACCCAUGUGAACAUUACCAACUGUUGCCUCGGCGGGGAUCACGCCCCGGGUCCCGGUUAAAACCCGGGACCGGCCCCGCCAGGAGGACCACCUAAACUUCUGUAUUCCCUCCUGACUGUAAUUUCUUAGCAGCUCUACAAACCAUUAAAUAAAUCA
This 175-nucleotide unclassified non-coding RNA is filed under the name soil metagenome. Its description in RNAcentral is "partial internal transcribed spacer 1". The record is from RNAcentral.